Molecule: long non-coding RNA, 2169 nt
Organism: Parus major (Great Tit)
Lineage: Eukaryota; Metazoa; Chordata; Aves; Passeriformes; Paridae
Exons: 2
Source: RefSeq, a predicted model, not a curated record
AUACAGUUAAAUAUGGGGGGAGCAGCUCUUUACACUGUGUCUCAUCUGUUCCCUGGCACUGCCCAUGUACCAGCCCAUUCCCCGUGCCUUUGAACCACCGACCAUCAUAGCAGGGGCAGGAGCUGGGAACUGAAGGCAGGCUGUGGUGAGGACCAUUUGCUCCUGGGACACAAAGUACUCAAGCCUCUUCACCAGAGCACAGCAGAUACCACAGUACUGAGAGCGUAUCCUGCGUGACAAUCGUGGCAGAAAAAAAGGGUGUUCGUACUCAAAGGGCAGAGCACUUUAUUCUUUGCGGGAUCACAAGGGGGAACAGCCAGCCCAGGAGCUCGCAAGGGGCUGGAGCCAUGUGCAGGCAAACCCAGCAGUGCCCGGCAGUGUCUGAAGUUCUCCAUCCCUCCAGAGGAUGUCAGCGUGGAGCCACCAAAAAAGGCGAUCUCUGUGACCCAAAUCCGGCGGCUGUGAGGAAACGACAGCGAGCUCUGCGGACACAGCCCCGGAGCUGCCCGCCUGCUUUCCCACAGCAGCACCUCACUGGGCACAAUUUACAGGUUAAAACUCCAGCAUUACAGGUGCUGCACAAGCCUGGUAAACCAUCCUGCAUCCUAGGAAAUUCUGCUCUGGAUCAACAAGACAUGCCAGAAGGAUGACAUAAGAAGCAAACCAGUGGCAAGGGAUGGAUAGUGUAGCAGAAUACUGACAGGGCUAUCAUGGGAAUAAAAUGUAAAGAUGCUAUCAAUGUCACAUCAAGAUUGUACAAUCAAAAGGUGAUAAAUGAAAACAUUAAGAUUCCUAUGACAACUUCCUGAAAAUGGCAAUGCAGCUGUCUUAUUUACAGUAAGGUCUAUAGCUGAAAACACAUUUACAAGAGCAUUUGGAAGUAGGUUUUGAAAAAUACCCAGGAAUGAGAACAUGAUGCAUAAGAGAGCUGAAUUACCACCGCUGUUGGAUCUCUAGGUUUCUGGUUUUAAUAAUCACUCUCAGAAUAUCUGUUAGACUUUAGAAAAGAAACAGGGAAAAUGAAACAUGGGGAGAAAAAUGCAAAAUCCCUGGCAAAACAUCAGGUUGCCCUAACUAAUAAUAACCUUUUGGUAGCAGCUGUUGAUACAGACUAAGAAGUGUAUGCUUUGCAAUCCCCUUAUGCCCUGAGAGUGUGAGUGCUCAGACACUGAAACUUCACAUGCACUGUCUAUGGGGAUCAGCACUCCUGUUAAAUUCCUAAGUUUCCCCCAUCAAACUUAUUCAAACACCCAAGAAAGUCAGUGACUGCCUUAGAUUUUGAAUCUGGGAUAAACACACCAUGUUUUUGAUUGGAAAACCGAUACAUGAGCAAAAUUUGGCAAUUAUAAAAAACAUUUUCCCACAUCACUCAAAGCAGCAUAGGGUCUCCCCUGUCAAAAGACAGAAAAUAAACUCACCUUUGUCUAGAGAAGUAGAGACCUUGCAAGCCUGGGAAAUUGUACAUUCAAGGGCAAUGUGUCAGGCUAUUAUGAAUGAGGAAAACAAGGCUCUAGUACCAGAGCUCACUACAAAAUAGGCUGGCCUAAUAACAUUCAGCUCUUGGUUGCGUGGUCACUGCCUACUGCCAGUCACAUCAAGGAUAAGUAUUAAUGGCCAAAGUCAUUGUAGUUACAGAAUUAGGUAGGAGGAAGAAAAAAGCAGCAGCAGGCAGGCAGAAGUCCUUUUUUUUUAUAUGAAUAAAAUUUUAUUGAAUUUUAUACAAUUAGAAAGAACAAAGAAAGAGGAGCAAACAGUCUUAUGGAGGGUAGGAACCAGAAGAGCUUUCCCAGUAGAGGAGGGCACCUGCUGAGGGCAGUGUUCCUGUAAAUGUCACACAGGGGUUGUUACAAAAGCAGAGAGAAUGUGUCUGAGCUUUUCUUUGAUUGUUUUGGGUUUUUUUUGCUUCCCACAUUAGGGUUUCUAAAGCCACUCUUUUUCCCUCAUCAAUCCUACCACCCAGCAGCAAAGUGAGCAGACAGGCAGGAAGGAGGACUGCUCCAGUGGAAUGGGUGCACACACAGAGCAGCGCCUGCCUGCACCACCAGGGGGGUUUGCACCCAUUCUGGAUGCAGUGCUGUGGAGGGGGACAGACGGGAAAUUGGAUUAUUUUUAUCUUCUUUUUCUUUUCUUUUCCUUUUUUUUUUUUUUUUUUUUUUUUUUUUUUUUUUU